Molecule: ribosomal RNA, 475 nt
Filed under: uncultured bacterium
Lineage: Bacteria
Description: bacterial SSU rRNA
Rfam family: Bacterial small subunit ribosomal RNA
Source: RNAcentral
ACUCCUACGGGAGGCAGCAGUGGGGAAUAUUGCACAAUGGGCGCAAGCCUGAUGCAGCCAUGCCGCGUGUAUGAAGAAGGCCUUCGGGUUGUAAAGUACUUUCAGCAGUGAGGAAGGUGGGUAUGUUAAUAGCAUACUCAUUUGACGUUAGCUGCAGAAGAAGCACCGGCUAACUCCGUGCCAGCAGCCGCGGUAAUACGGAGGGUGCGAGCGUUAAUCGGAAUUACUGGGCGUAAAGCGCAUGCAGGUGGUUUGUUAAGUCAGAUGUGAAAGCCCGGGGCUCAACCUCGGAAUUGCAUUUGAAACUGGCAAACUAGAGUACUGUAGAGGGGGGUAGAAUUUCAGGUGUAGCGGUGAAAUGCGUAGAGAUCUGAAGGAAUACCGGUGGCGAAGGCGGCCCCCUGGACAGAUACUGACACUCAGAUGCGAAAGCGUGGGGAAGCAAACAGGAUUAGAUACCCUGGUAGGCUCUAGC